GUACGCUUCUUUUUCCACCGGAGCUUGCUCCACCGGAAAAAGAAGAGUGGCGAACGGGUGAGUAACACGUGGGUAACCUGCCCAUCAGAAGGGGAUAACACUUGGAAACAGGUGCUAAUACCGUAUAACAAUCGAAACCGCAUGGUUUUGAUUUGAAAGGCGCUUUCGGGUGUCGCUGAUGGAUGGACCCGCGGUGCAUUAGCUAGUUGGUGAGGUAACGGCUCACCAAGGCCACGAUGCAUAGCCGACCUGAGAGGGUGAUCGGCCACAUUGGGACUGAGACACGGCCCAAACUCCUACGGGAGGCAGCAGUAGGGAAUCUUCGGCAAUGGACGAAAGUCUGACCGAGCAACGCCGCGUGAGUGAAGAAGGUUUUCGGAUCGUAAAACUCUGUUGUUAGAGAAGAACAAGGAUGAGAGUAACUGUUCAUCCCUUGACGGUAUCUAACCAGAAAGCCACGGCUAACUACGUGCCAGCAGCCGCGGUAAUACGUAGGUGGCAAGCGUUGUCCGGAUUUAUUGGGCGUAAAGCGAGCGCAGGCGGUUUCUUAAGUCUGAUGUGAAAGCCCCCGGCUCAACCGGGGAGGGUCAUUGGAAACUGGGAGACUUGAGUGCAGAAGAGGAGAGUGGAAUUCCAUGUGUAGCGGUGAAAUGCGUAGAUAUAUGGAGGAACACCAGUGGCGAAGGCGGCUCUCUGGUCUGUAACUGACGCUGANGCUCGAAAGCGUGGGGAGCAAACAGGAUUAGAUACCCUGGUAGUCCACGCCGUAAACGAUGAGUGCUAAGUGUUGGAGGGUUUCCGCCCUUCAGUGCUGCAGCUAACGCAUUAAGCACUCCGCCUGGGGAGUACGACCGCAAGGUUGAAACUCAAAGGAAUUGANGGGGCCCGCACAAGCGGUGGAGCAUGUGGUUUAAUUCGAAGCAACGCGANNAACCUUACCNNUCUUGACAUCCUUUGACCACNUCUAGAGAUAGAGCUUCCCCUUCGGGGCAAGUGAC
Molecule: ribosomal RNA, 998 nt
Filed under: Enterococcus lactis
Lineage: Bacteria; Bacillati; Bacillota; Bacilli; Lactobacillales; Enterococcaceae
Description: bacterial SSU rRNA
Rfam family: Bacterial small subunit ribosomal RNA
Source: RNAcentral